GACGAACGCUGGCGGCGUGCCUAAUACAUGCAAGUUGAGCGAUGAAGAUUGGUGCUUGCACCAAUUUGAAGAGCAGCGAACGGGUGAGUAACGCGUGGGGAAUCUGCCUUUGAGCGGGGGACAACAUUGGGAAACGAAUGCUAAUACCGCAUAACAACUUUAAACAUAAGUUUUAAGUUUGAAAGAUGCAAUUGCAUCACUCAAAGAUGAUCCCGCGUUGUAUUAGCUAGUUGGUGAGGUAAAGGCUCACCAAGGCGAUGAUACAUAGCCGACCUGAGAGGGUGAUCGGCCACAUUGGGACUGAGACACGGCCCAAACUCCUACGGGAGGCAGCAGUAGGGAAUCUUCGGCAAUGGACGAAAGUCUGACCGAGCAACGCCGCGUGAGUGAAGAAGGUUUUCGGAUCGUAAAACUCUGUUGGUAGAGAAGAACGUUGGUGAGAGUGGAAAGCUCAUCAAGUGACGGUAACUACCCAGAAAGGGACGGCUAACUACGUG
RNAcentral lists this ribosomal RNA (497 nucleotides) under uncultured bacterium. Its description in RNAcentral is "partial 16S ribosomal RNA". It matches the Rfam family "Bacterial small subunit ribosomal RNA", at positions 28 to 507 of the family's 1533-position model. The record is from RNAcentral.